UGGGGAAUAUUGCACAAUGGAGGGAACUCUGAUGCAGCGACGCCGCGUGAACGAAGAAGGCUUUCGAGUCGUAAAGUUCUUUUGUAUGGGAAGAUAAUGACGGUACCAUGGGAGGAAGCCCCGGCUAACUACGUGCCAGCAGCCGCGGUAAUACGUAGGGGGCGAGCGUUGUCCGGAAUUACUGGGCGUAAAGGGUUCGCAGGCGGCAUGGCAAGUCCGAUGUAAAAGGCGAAGGCUCAACCUUCGUAAGCAUCGGAAACUGUCAAGCUUGAGUGAAGGAGAGGCAAGUGGAAUUCCUAGUGUAGCGGUGGAAUGCGUAGAUAUUAGGAGGAAUACCGGUGGCGAAGGCGACUUGCUGGACUUCAACUGACGCUGAGGAACGAAAGCGUGGGUAGCAAACAGG
This 403-nucleotide ribosomal RNA is filed under the name Fusobacteriota bacterium. Its description in RNAcentral is "Fusobacteria bacterium partial 16S ribosomal RNA". It matches the Rfam family "Bacterial small subunit ribosomal RNA", at positions 355 to 776 of the family's 1533-position model. Lineage: Bacteria; Fusobacteriati; Fusobacteriota. The record is from RNAcentral.